GUGCAGUGAUGUAUUUGUCAACACAUCAUUCUGAAAAUAUGUGAUGACAUCUCAAGACUGAGCACA
Alexandromys fortis (reed vole) is the source of this 66-nucleotide small nucleolar RNA. RefSeq annotates it as small nucleolar RNA SNORD63. The record is from RefSeq and is a predicted model, not a curated record. The transcript has a single exon. Lineage: Eukaryota; Metazoa; Chordata; Mammalia; Rodentia; Cricetidae.